This is a long non-coding RNA of Mya arenaria, 1363 nucleotides long. RefSeq lists it as uncharacterized. Lineage: Eukaryota; Metazoa; Mollusca; Bivalvia; Myida; Myidae. The record is from RefSeq and is a predicted model, not a curated record. The transcript has 3 exons.
UUUUUCCGUAAAGUAAACCAUGAAACUGUUGACUGCGACCAUUUCAACUUGUUCUAUUUCCGGAUAACACUUUAAGCUCCCGUUUUAGUAUAAUAACUCUUUUAAGGGAUUAUAACUUGUCGACAUGGAUAAACAGCCUCAAGUCAACUUUGUAAGUGCUCCAUCACCAUGAUUUGUCGCUGUGGUAUGAAAGGAUUGGGAUCAAGUAUGCUUACAGUAAAAGAUAUAUGAUUUUACUUUGACGUUUGAAAUAUCAAACACGAAUAUUUGAAUGUUAUUUUAUGUAUGUUUGGUUCAUAAUGGUACUUUGUCAAGUGUAAGACCCACAAACCUUCUUCAAAGUUGAAGUCACUAUUGCAGUUAAUUGUUACCACAACCCAGGUCUGGGGAAUAGUGGGGACUUUGACUUUCGGUCCAGCCUAUCCAAGGUAAAAUUCCGCCCUGCAGCGAAGAACUAAUGGUCAAACCAAAUCAAAGGCUCCCACAUCCCGGGAACCCUAGGUAAGGUCCAUUCCAGCUAUAUUUUGCGCGAAGAUAAAACUACACUAUUCACCGGCACUGCCAGGCCAUCUUGAAGGUAAAAACAUGGCCCAUUUCCCUGACUGCAUGUGUCCCUGGACUGGGUCGGGGCGUGGUUACAAAUGAAUGGUGCAUAACAUUCUAAAUGCAAUGUCAGAUUCACAUUGAGAGAAUUGCUACCAUUUGUCCAAAUAUUAUUUUCAUCAAUUGUGGCAAUGAAAGCAGAUAGAUCAGAUAUAAUGCACAGUAAAGAUUUUCCUUUUCUUUUUGUAAUAUAUCUUGAAGAAUAUCAAAGACUGUGGGAACUGAAAGGUUUUAUACCAAGACUUACAGUCAUAGUUGAUAAUGACAAAGUUAUCAAGUAUUGCAUUAUUCAAAUAUAAUUUCAGGUUAUGCAGGUUGUUGAGAGCAAUUAAUAUGAUGAGGGAAGGCAGGAAAGAGUACCAGUUUUAUAGUCUGUAUGUACUCGUGGCAAAAUGGUGUUCGAGCGUUGGCGAAUAAGGAUUUGCUUGCAGCGUUGAAAAACGAUAAUAUGCAAAGAACAGAAAGAAAGGUUCUCUUAACAUAGAAAGUAAAGAAAUAAUGAAGUUCACACUACAGUUGACAAUAUGGAUGUGUUUCCUUUGUUAUUUGAACAUGAUUUAUUUUAACUUACAUAACAAGUAUGCACUACAAUAAUGAAUAUCUAUAUUAAUAGUAAUGAUAUUCCAUUAAACAUGGAUAUGGAAAAAAUAUUCUUUGACAGUGCAAGAUAAGAUAAAUCCAGACAUAGUUUCAUCCACAUACUUGAAAUUUGUCUUGUAACUACAUGUAUUUUUAUGAGGUUAAGUGGUGAGUAAUCAAC